This is a non-coding RNA of Nylanderia fulva, 471 nucleotides long. The record is from RefSeq and is a predicted model, not a curated record. Lineage: Eukaryota; Metazoa; Arthropoda; Insecta; Hymenoptera; Formicidae.
UAAGUUUUUAAAUAAUUCUGUUCAAUUUCUUGAUAAAAUUGAAUAUAACACCAAAUUUCUUCCAAUCUUUUUUCUUCAGGAUGUCUGUAACGCUUUCCACUCCGUCGAUAUUCCUGCUACUUAAGAUGUCUCCCAUUCUCAUUCUCUCUUCGUCGUAUCGAUGACAUCGCCAAAUCACGUGAUCGAUAUCCUCAUAUUCGUAGCCACAAUCACAUCUUGUGUCAUUUAUAUAGUUUUUCCUUGCUAACGAUGCAUUUAAAUUAUAAUGAUUCGCUCUUAAUCUAUUUACAAAGGUUACAAAAUAUCUUUCCUCGUUAAAAUGUUCAAACCACGGAAUAUCAAAUUCAACAUUUGCCGGUUCCUGGGUGCCUGCUUUUGCUAGGAAAUCUGCAAUUUCAUUUCCCGAGAUUCCAUAGUGAGAUGGAAUCCAUACAAACAAUAUAUUCUUAAAAUAAAGAUCUUUAAAUCGAC